Molecule: long non-coding RNA, 501 nt
Filed under: Capra hircus (goat)
Lineage: Eukaryota; Metazoa; Chordata; Mammalia; Artiodactyla; Bovidae
Description: lncRNA (ENSCHIG00010030342.1)
Source: RNAcentral
AAAAGGCCGUCGUGGAAAUUCUCCAAAAGCCUCGCUACGGUCCGAACCCCCGUAAAUAAGAAGUUCACCCACCUCUGCGUUGAUAAUUCUCCAUCAAGGCAGUCAGUUCCUCUCCCAGAAACUAGUUAUCUCCCUCUUGGAGACUAGGAAGUCAACAGAAUGGCCGUUCUAGUUCCAUCCUAGAACCAUAGAAUUUUAUAGAUGAAAGAACCUUAAGAGAUCCUUGGUCCAAACUCUUUUGAAGUAGGGCAGGGAUUCAAAGAAGUUUAACCUACCCAAGAUUGACCAGCAGAGUCCUGGUCUGUACUCCCUCGCUGCUUUUCCUUAUUGAACAACUGACCUUAUAGCAUUGCUACAUCUAUGAAGGAAGCUGAAAAGGGGGAAGAUUUUUUUUUCCUUUCUAGCCCUGUUGCUGAUACUCAGAAUACUGUCUUUACCCAACCCCUAGACCCCAAAAUCACUCAUCAAAAGGAGAGCAACCUUCCCAGGUGGCGCAGCAGU